This 492-nucleotide ribosomal RNA is filed under the name uncultured bacterium. RNAcentral describes it as "partial 16S ribosomal RNA". It matches the Rfam family "Bacterial small subunit ribosomal RNA", at positions 29 to 507 of the family's 1533-position model. The record is from RNAcentral.
AGUGAGCGCUGGCGGUAGGCCUAACACAUGCAAGUCGAACGGCAGCACAGUAAGAGCUUGCUCUUACGGGUGGCGAGUGGCGGACGGGUGAGGAAUACAUCGGAAUCUACUUUUUCGUGGGGGAUAACGUAGGGAAACUUACGCUAAUACCGCAUACGACCUACGGGUGAAAGCAGGGGAUCUUCGGACCUUGCGCGAUUGAAUGAGCCGAUGUCGGAUUAGCUAGUUGGCGGGGUAAAGGCCCACCAAGGCGACGAUCCGUAGCUGGUCUGAGAGGAUGAUCAGCCACACUGGAACUGAGACACGGUCCAGACUCCUACGGGAGGCAGCAGUGGGGAAUAUUGGACAAUGGGCGCAAGCCUAAUCCAGCCAUACCGCGUGGGUGAAGAAGGCCUUCGGGUUGUAAAGCCCUUUUGUUGGGAAAGAAAAGCAGCAGGUUAAUACCCCGCUGUUCUGACGGUACCCAAAGAAUAAGCACCGGCUAACUUCGUG